GMUCYGUMGUCCUAGAGAUAGGACGUCCCCUUCGGGGGCAGAGUGACAGGUGGUGCAUGGUUGUCGUCAGCUCGUGUCGUGAGAUGUUGGGUUAAGUCCCGCAACGAGCGCAACCCUUGAUCUUAGUUGCCAGCAUUCAGUUGGGCACUCUAAGGUGACUGCCGGUGACAAACCGGAGGAAGGUGGGGAUGACGUCAAAUCAUCAUGCCCCUUAUGACCUGGGCUACACACGUGCUACAAUGGACAGAACAAAGGGCAGCGAAACCGCGAGGUUAAGCCAAUCCCACAAAUCUGUUCUCAGUUCGGAUCGCAGUCUGCAACUCGACUGCGUGAAGCUGGAAUCGCUAGUAAUCGCGGAUCAGCAUGCCGCGGUGAAUACGUUCCCGGGUCUUGUACACACCGA
RNAcentral lists this ribosomal RNA (403 nucleotides) under Bacillus subtilis. Its description in RNAcentral is "bacterial SSU rRNA". It matches the Rfam family "Bacterial small subunit ribosomal RNA", at positions 989 to 1393 of the family's 1533-position model. The record is from RNAcentral. Lineage: Bacteria; Bacillati; Bacillota; Bacilli; Caryophanales; Bacillaceae.